UAAGUACCACGCACCUUCGUAAGUGGUACAGGACGUUUAUUGGGCCUAAAGUAUCCGUAGCCGGCUUUGCAAGUCUUCGGUUAAAUCCACCUGCUCAACAGAUGGGCUGCUGGAGAUACUACAAAGCUAGGGAGUGGGAGAGGCAGACGGUAUUCAGUGGGUAGGGGUAAAUCCUCUGAUCCAUUGAGGACCACCAGUGGCGAAGGCGGUCUGCCAGAACACGUUCGACGGUGAGGGAUGAAAGCUGGGGGAGCAAACCGGAUUAGAUACCCGGGUAGUCCCAGCUGUAAACGAUGCAAACUCGGUGAUGCAUUGGCUUAUGGCCAAUGCAGUGCCGCAGGGAAGCCGUUAAGUUUGCCGCCUGGGAAGUACGGACGCAAGUCUGAAACUUAAAUGAAUUGACGGUAUCGU
RNAcentral lists this ribosomal RNA (411 nucleotides) under uncultured archaeon. RNAcentral's name for it is "bacterial SSU rRNA". It matches the Rfam family "Archaeal small subunit ribosomal RNA", at positions 1 to 877 of the family's 1478-position model. The record is from RNAcentral.